This 811-nucleotide long non-coding RNA is filed under the name Fukomys damarensis (Damara mole-rat). RNAcentral describes it as "lncRNA (ENSFDAG00000029938.1)". Lineage: Eukaryota; Metazoa; Chordata; Mammalia; Rodentia; Bathyergidae. The record is from RNAcentral.
GGCUAGGAGUGGGAGGGGCCGGUAUGCAAAAAGUGGGGCUAGAACUCAGCAGGAUUGAAGAGUGAGGCACUUUAGAGCAACGGCCAGAGAAGGAAGGGGCGUGUCCGAAGAAAAGGGGCGGAGCCGGAGGAGCGGGUAGGGGGAGGGGUCUACGAAGAGGUCGGGCCUGGGCAGGAAAAGGGAGAGAGGUAAGGUAUUGGGCCGGGCCCUGGCUCCGGGGGCAGAGCGGGAACCUGGAAAACGAUGUGUCCAGGCGUCUGGCGAGGGGAGGGAUUCAAUGAGCUGGGGGCGGGGCAUAGCCUAGGAGGCGGGGCCCAAAAAUGAAGGGUGGAGUGUUUCUGAGGAGCGGGGCAGACCAGUGGGUAAGGGGCGUGGCCUGGGUGGUGGGAUGGGCCUAUUCCACAGAGAGGCGGGGCCAAAGCCCGACGGGGCGGAAAGCUAAGGCUGGGCCUUAGAGCAAAGGCCCAAGCAGAGUCGGAGAAAGGGGUGUAUCUGGAGCGAAGGGGCCGGGUCUACGGAAUCCUCCCUGAUGCUCAACAGAGCUUCUGCUUCUCUGCCCAGACGUGGCCACCACACCUGGCAGUAUCUGUAUCCAAGCUAGAGCCUUGCUGGGGUCCAAAGGACAGCGUAUCCGGCAUCCAUCAACCAACAGCCAAUCUCCAGGUGAGCGAGUGAAUCCGUGGAUGACUAACUGGAUGGUGUUUUCCCAUGAUGAAUCUGCUGUGGCUUCCCUUGGUCACCUGCAGACCUUUGACAACCCCUGACCUCUCAGUGUCCUCCCAGAACCUAGUCCCUGCUCUCCACCCCAGGA